UCGAGAAUUUUUCUCAAUGGGCGAAAGCCUGAAGGAGCGACGCCGCGUGGGGGAUGAAGGGCUUCGGUCCGUAAACCCCUGUCAUUUGCGAACAAACCUUACGAAUGAACAAUUCGUGAGCUGAUUGUAGCGAAAGAGGAAGGGACGGCUAACUCUGUGCCAGCAGCCGCGGUAAUACAGAGGUCCCGAGCGUUGUUCGGAUUCACUGGGCGUAAAGGGUGCGCAGGUGGCCUGUCAAGUUUGAUGUGAAAGCCCCGGGCUUAACCCGGGAAUGGCAUUGAAUACUGAUGGGCUGGAGGAUUGGAGGGGGGACUGGAAUUCUUGGUGUAGCAGUGAAAUGCGUAGAUAUCAAGAGGAACACCAGUGGCGAAGGCGAGUCCCUGGACAAUACCUGACACUGAGGCACGAAAGCCAAGGGAGCAAACAG
This 427-nucleotide ribosomal RNA is filed under the name uncultured bacterium. Its description in RNAcentral is "bacterial SSU rRNA". It matches the Rfam family "Bacterial small subunit ribosomal RNA", at positions 355 to 775 of the family's 1533-position model. The record is from RNAcentral.